This 398-nucleotide transfer-messenger RNA is filed under the name Bacteroidales. Its description in RNAcentral is "Cryptobacteroides sp902788095 Standard tmRNA". It matches the Rfam family "transfer-messenger RNA". From Rfam's summary of the family: Bacterial tmRNA, also known as 10Sa RNA or SsrA, is named for its dual tRNA and mRNA-like properties. The record is from RNAcentral. RNAcentral also lists the same sequence under 1 other name. Lineage: Bacteria; Pseudomonadati; Bacteroidota; Bacteroidia.
GGGGGUGUUUUGGUUUUGACAGCGCUGAUGCUGGACGGUAAGCAUGUCGGGCCUCGGAACCUGUCCCGUAAAACGCAGAUUCCAAAAAAUCAGUUGCCAACAACAACUACGCACUCGCUGCUUAAUUUGCCAAGCAAAUUAACUUAAUCCGCGACGCCAAGGCUGCGCCGCCGACGAGUAUCCCUCGGCCCUUCCGCCUCUUAAGGGCCCCUCAAGGGGUAUCAUCCAUUUGGGGCUGCUCCGGCGGACGCCUUUAAAGCCGGCUAAGACUUAAAGGCUAAGGGAAGCUUCGCCCGCCUUCCGGCAGGGCUUCUUCGAAAACCAAAGGACGGAUAAGCAUGUAGAAAGCCGCCUGGUGCGACGUUUGGACAGCGGUUCGAGUCCGCUCACCUCCACUU